AGUGGGUGACAGAGCCAUCCAGGGCUCCUGACUCCAGGUCCUGUGUGUUACCUCGAAAUAGCACUGGACUUGGAGUCAGAAGGCCUGAGUGGAGUCGCCUUCCCCACUCUCUGGCUGGGUGACCCCGGAGCAAGCCAUUUUAACUCUCUGAGCCUCCUUUCCUCCAUCUGUCAAAUGGGGUUGGUGGCGCCACAAGAGAAGGCCCGCGGUUGCUUGGGUGCCAAGUAUUUAUAGAAAGACCGCUGUGCAUUUGCCCUCUACUCUGCCUCUCCUGAGAUCCCGGUCUCCCUCUCUACACACAGCGUAAAGACCUUUUGGUCUCCUGGUGGUGUCACACAAGUGGUUCAGAUGUGUCUGUGGAGCCUGCUGUGCUUUCUCACUUUAGAUAUCAGUCAACAGAACAAAUGGAGGCAACUUCAGGUCUCAAAAGAGAAGCAAAGGCAAAAUGGGGACUUGCCUAGGAGGUACAUUGAGACUUACGAUGCUGGCUGUGUGUCCUUGUGGAAUUCAUUUUCCCUGUUGAAGCUCGCUUUUCUCAUCUGCAGAUUGGGACAAAUGAUCCAGUCCUGUGGACCAAGCAGGGCUGUUAUGAGAAUCAAAUGAAGUAAUAAAUCUCUUCCCGAUACAUUCGCUCAGCCAGCAGCUGUACUCCCCGUCUAUCCUGCCGCAGCCCCCAUCCAGCCAAAUCCAGGGUGAGGUGAUCUGCAGCCUGCAUUUCCUGGGGGCCUUGGAGGCUUAGAAGUUAUAAUAAAAGGAGCACAACCGGAAGAGAUUCUGAUUCUAGGAUGAGGCAUCUGGAAGUAUACAAGUGCCCUUGUUUUUAGACCUGAUGAAAUAAAGAAAUGAGUGACAAAGCUUAUAGAGGAUUUGCUUUCCUGUCAGUCACUCUGGGUGCAUUCCCUUCUGUUGGGAGUUGGUCUCAGUGA
This is a long non-coding RNA of Physeter macrocephalus (sperm whale), 926 nucleotides long. RefSeq lists it as uncharacterized. The transcript is spliced from 4 exons. Lineage: Eukaryota; Metazoa; Chordata; Mammalia; Artiodactyla; Physeteridae. The record is from RefSeq and is a predicted model, not a curated record.